This 1123-nucleotide long non-coding RNA is filed under the name Marmota monax (woodchuck). Lineage: Eukaryota; Metazoa; Chordata; Mammalia; Rodentia; Sciuridae. The record is from RNAcentral.
GAGCCGCCUCUCCCUGGAACAUUGCUGGUCAUGGUAGAGAGGAAGGAUCUCCUGCGUGAAGGCCCUUAAAGCCCCACCUGGAAGGGACACAUAUCUCUGCUGCCACGUUUCAUUGGCCAAUGCGAGUCACAAAGCCUCUUCUGUUUGGCAGGGAAGAGAUGUGUGGUCCUCCCAGGGAGGGGAGGAACACUGCAGAAAAGGAAGCCGGAGUAUUUGGUGACCAUCCACACAGCUUGGUCAGGGAGUUCCUAUUGUUUUGAAGAUGAAAGUCAAAGCCGUAAGACCUACAAGGCUCCUGAUCAGGUCUCUGCUAAGCUCCCUAACUUGACCUCCCCCCCGUUGAUCACUGAUUCUUUGAACAUGCCAUGGGGCUACUCUGCCCGGGUCUGGACAUGUCGUCCCCUCCUGUCCUCUUUCCCAACUUAGUCCUGGCACUUGUUCACAUCGCAGGGUCUUUGUCAUGGGCUUGCGCUGAGUGGCCGAUCUCCUUCGUUGGGCUUGUCUGAGCUUUCUGUGGCCCCUGCAGUAGGGGGAUUCCACCACCCAUGGCUGCCUCCCUGUCCUGAUGGGCAGCGCACAAUGCUGCAGUAGAAGCUGGUCAAGUGAAAGAAAGAGAAGAGGCUGAAGUGCAGAACAACCCCUGGAGGAAUGGAGAAUAUUUGAGUAGAAGACAGUCCUGGCAGGGGACAGGGUAAGGGGCUGUGCGUAUGUGGAGGGCGUUCAUGGAAGCUGGGGCUGGAUUUAUUUUUCAUUCUUUCCCAGAGCAUCUUUAAAGCCAAAGUUUGAAAGUUAGAGGUGAUGAGUUAAUUUUGGGUCGCUGUAAUACUGAACUUCCUGACAGUGUGAGCAUGCAUAUUAGAAAUGUUCUGUUCUCUGUCCCUGCUCCAGCAGAGACCGAUGACAGAGAUGGGAAGUGUCAAUGGGCAUUUUGGAUAGCAGGGGUGGUGGAAGAGAGGCACGAGCUCGAUCCCUCAGACUUCAAAGUGGUGUGGUUCCACUACAAAACAGAGACACAAAUGAGGAGAUGAGAAAACACCGGGCAUCAAUUUCUAUAAAAUGGCACAGCCCCUGGGUGCCAUGCUGAUGUCCCUGUCUUGGCUUGUGAUUUGAGAACUGUUACAAG